RNA transcript from Monomorium pharaonis (pharaoh ant), 5467 nucleotides. RefSeq lists it as uncharacterized. Lineage: Eukaryota; Metazoa; Arthropoda; Insecta; Hymenoptera; Formicidae. The record is from RefSeq and is a predicted model, not a curated record. The transcript is spliced from 3 exons.
UUAUCAUUGCGGUUCGAUGAGAGAAUAAUAAAAUUUACAAUAUACAAAGAAAGGGCUAAUGAGCCGCACAGGUUGUUAGAACUAAAAACAUAUGAGUCCCACAUUACGAGGCUACGCGAAGAAAGCGGAGGAAGUUCGCACAGCUGAUGGAUAGACCAGGCAUCAUCGGUCGAGCAGCCGACGAUUGGCGACGGCGACGGCGACAGCAGUGGAGCCUCAGCAACCCUUAGACAGACCACCACCACCACCACCACCACCACGUGACAGGAUGCGGAUGCGUAACGCAGGCAAAGCCGAAGGGGAAGGAGCAACGAGGCGACGAGGUUUUCGAGGCCCCUCAGUCGUCUAGCAACCGCUGAGCAAGAAGGUCCAGUUGCGCGUGCUAUUCCGGUCGAUUCGAAUCGGCUUCGUCGACGUCGCAUCGUGUUGCGCGUGCUCUACGAGAGGAAGAAGGGUCCCCGAUCCCGCGAGUGUCUCCGAUUGUUUUGUCCUGUUGCCAGCUGCUCCCGGUAUCUGCCUGCUCCUGGCGCGCCGCGGAGGAUCGAUUCCUGAAGCGGCCUAGGGAGACUCUAAAAUGUUUGCCAACGUGGAGAGAAAGAGUUGACGAGGGCCUAUUCGUCGAAGGGGGACGCCUACUUGACCAGCGCUAAUCAGUAGGAAGGAAAAGAAAUACGGGCACGCGUGUUCUACCUAUAACAGUAUUAAGAAGAAAGAAGCACGAUGGAUCCUUAUUCAUUAAGGUGAAUGCAUUACUGAUAAGUUUAUUUCCGUCACAGAUAUCACCGUUUUAAAAUAUAGGAGUGCACAGUUAUGCUUCGAUAAUUAUUGUCUCAUUGAAUUAACCGCAUCGAUAUUCUUUCGAUUUAUUGAUUCUAUAAUUAAUCAUAUAAUUAAUUAUUGGAGAGCACUUAAAGAUAUGCGAGAUAAAUAGCAAGUCGAAUUAAUAAUGGAUUGAGAUUUAUUUAGAUGAUAAUUUUAAUCUUGCGCGAACAAUAAUUCUUUUAAUUUCGACGAAAAAUAUACAAGAGGUUCUUUUACUAUGAAUAGGCGGGCACUGGCGAUUGAAAAAGUAAACUCAAGAUUCAUUUCUACGAAAAUAAUCCAUCAAAGAUCUUAAUCCCGGCAGAAUUUUUCUUCGCCCUUUGAGGCAUACCUUAUUCUUUGUCCCUUCUUGCUUGUUCGUUUGUACAUAAUAUCCGACAAAGCUUUAAAGUACAUAGUCUACAAGCUUGAUGGUUUUUUUAUUAUAUUCGAUCGGACAGUUUGUGCUUACAGAUAUCUUUAGAUAAGUCAACAAAAAAGAUUUCUUUUAUAUUUCGGCAGAAAGGCAGAAAGGUCUUGGGAUACCUAUUGUUUUAAAUUCUUCGAAAAUUUCUCGAAAAUUCCUCUUCCUUGCUUUCACCAUAAGAAUGCAGGAAACAUAAUAUUACUUUAGAGUACAGUUUAUAUUCGGGUACAAUUGAUUGCAAAAUUGCCGCAGUUAUAAGGCAAUUUCCGUCCGAUAAUAAUUUUCAGAAUACGGUUUUAAGUCGGGAAAAACAUAUGAUAGUUGUCUUUAAAAUGUAAGUGUAUUUUAAUUGUUGCUAAUUUAAGAACUUAAAAAUAUCGGUGACAUACAUUUGAAAGCAAAUUGCUAAAUUAUCGCAUUAUCGCUCAUAACGCUGUAAACCGUCGAAUGUUAUUUCAAGUUUUGACUAAUCUUAUUUUAAUUUUUACAAAUCUUAUUUUAAACUAUCACAAUUUUAAUAACCAAAAUUACUAAACAUGAAUUAACAUAAAAAUAAUUUAUUGUAGCAUUAUAGAGUUACUAAUCCUAAAUUCUUAGACAAAAAUUAAAUAUGAUUUCAAAAAUGGAAAUAGAAAUAGAAAGUUUGGUCACGCGUUAAUGUUUCGGCAGAGAGUUUUUGAAUUAUUGGCAACAAAUUUUUGAGAUCGCAGUCAAAAGAUGAAUUCGCAUUCGAUUGCGUGAUUGCUCAUCAAUUAAUCUUUGAUCCCAAGUGACGUUAUGUAUGACGUUAGGUUCUCUUGAUAAGUGGUCUCUGAAUAUCGUAAAGACAUCGGUGGGACUAAAUUCAAAUUUGUGGAUGUUUCUUUCACAUAUUCGUGCUGUCAUAAUCUCAUUUUCGUUAAAGAUUUCUGGUGAAAAUUUUUCUUAGAAUUUUUAAUAUAAUUUAAAAAAUUUUUCAAACUUUCUGGAUAAAUUGUAUAACAUUUUUAAAAAAUUUAUACAAAAAUUCUAAAAAAUUAAAUGAAAAAUUCAGAGAAAAAUUUUUACUAGGAAUCUUUAAUGAAGAAUUAAUAAGGAAAAAAAAACGAUUUUUCUUAAUUGGUUAUAACGUUUAUUCGUCGUGAAAUAAAACGGAUUGCUGGGAAUAAGUCAAAAUCUUUUCGUUGGCUUGUUUGGCACGAGGAAUGUAUCACGUGUAUAUGACGCGAAAACGAUGAUGUAACUCGUGCGUGAUGGUUGCACAAAAAAAACGAUCCCGAAUCAUGAAAUCCCGAGAAUGAAAGGAAGUUACGCUGUAAAAUAUUCUCGCAAGGUUGUUGCAUUUUUUUCCGAGGAAACUAAAAAUAUGAGACGCAGUCGUCUUGUAAAUUUGAUUAUCGAACUACCGUAAACUGUUUAAUCAACGGGAUAAUAAGCAGAGAUCGCAUUACUCGCGAUAAAUGUAAUGUACUGUGACAAAACGGCGCGAUACCUCGCGUCUUUAUCAUGAAAUUAUUACACUUGACAUAAUCCUGUUGAUAUCGGGAAUAUCGUAACUUAAUCGUGUUUUCAUAGAUAUUGGAUCCAUUAAUGGUAAUCGUUAUCGAUAAUAGUUUAAUAUUAUCGAAUUUAUUAUUUACGCGCGUGUUCCGCGUAGAGAUGUACGAAUCGGGAUCUUUUUCACGCUGAAUCAAAUCGAUAAAAUUUUAAUGCAAUCGAGUCAAAUCGUUUAUAAUACUUUUACUUAUUAUUAGGUUGAAUUUUAAUAUACAAAUAAUACCAAAAAGAGAUUUCUAUGUUGAGAAAAUAAUAUUUGGAUCACAUGAUAAAUAUGAUUUUAUUAAAUUAUCAAAAUGUGUGAUUCGCAUUCGAAAUUUUCAAACAGCUCACGCAUCUCCAAUUCCUCGUCGCGAGUUGUUCAAUUUCGUCUCUGCCUUUGCAUAUCUUAGACUAAUCAUGAUUUCCGCGUCGUUUUAACGUCGAACAAAAUAUAUCGACCGUAAAGCAGUAAGCAAAGAUAUAUCAACGAUUGUCCGCGUGUCGCGCUGGUAUUAUAUUACUGGCUUUUGUUGAAUCAGGGCCAAGGUUAAUAUUGCGACUGAUUACGCCAGUUUGAAUAACGCCACUCUACUUUUAGAAAUGCAGCCGUCCGGAUGAUCCCGCGGAGGACCUUCCUUUCGAUCAACAGUAGCGAUUCGCGAUUCGCCGUGAGAUAACAAACGCGCGCCGGUGUAUCAAAGGCUACAGAGCAUAACACGUAAGACGAGGAGAGAGGUGCAAGGUGCCGAUAUGUCUGGCGAGUCGAACGAGAAAGGAAUGCUGUAAUAAGUCUCGCGAGUGGCUAUACAUCCCUCAACAGUACGCAAAGUACGUAGGUCAGCCUGUAGCAAUUAGGGCCCGGACUCGGACGACGAUGUGUACAGCGAGGUGAAAGACUCGUCCAGCGAAAUGUCAAAUGCCACUUGCCGCAAGCGCAUUCGCACUCGCUGCUAAUGACGAUGUUACGCGUCGCGGGAGCGGGAUAAAAAAUUUAGACGUUCGAGAGACGUAUAAGCUCGGCGAAUAAAAGAAUAAAAUGCACAUGUCUCCCUCGUGUCGGCAGCCGUGUCGUACACGGAGUCGGCGUGUCUUCAUAAAUAGAAUCGAUGUUUCAAGAGAACCUGCAAUUUACUUAAAGCCCACCACGUGCCUCGUGGAUUUUGCGAUAAAACCGCGGUAUUAUCGCCGCAUAUAUUGUCUUUAUGUUAGCUUAGAAUAACAAAGCAUACGCGACACACAAUGAAUACGGAAUGGAGUACACGACUCGUAAAUAACAAGUCCGGCCUGGCUGUCUCCUCUUUCGGGUUAUGCAAAGUAUCAGAAAAACCAGGAAAUCGUAUGAUAACGAGUUGCACUCGGUCUCGGAGCCUCCAACGAGCACUGUUUGUGGUCUCUCAAGUUUUUAAACUUCCGUCAAACUUAUCUCGCGAAUGUAAGUCUUGAUUUCAGAUUUUUCUUCCACCCUUCGAUAGCCGUGCGAUCGCGCGAGCCAUUUCCAGCUUUAAAUUCAGUUUGUCAAUUAAAUGUCGAAUCUUUCGAUCCCGAUUUAACUUGCUCUCUAUUUUUGUUUCUAAUUCUUAGAACUAGAAAAAGAUAAAGAGCAACCGAGAUCACAAUUAAUUUGCAUUGGUGGAAAUUGGCAUAAAAGAGAUAAAAGUGUUACAAAUAGAUCUGUUAAACUAUAAUCUGCCUUCCAGUUAGUUACGGUAAGAAACCACAGUCAACUAUUGUGUUCAAUAAUAUGCCAAUUAACGCGCGUUAAUUCGUCAAGUACAUAAUUGUAUCAUAUAUCAAAGAUCAAGAUCGUCGCUCUAUUUUUAACUCACAACGAGAACAAUCAUUCGUUCGUCAAAGAACAUCUCCAAACGCUUUGUCACGUCAUGUUGCUAAAAUCACGGCGAUGCCCGUGUGUGGAAAAUGAUUAUACUUGAAAAAACUUACAAUGUUUAUUCAAACAAUUAAUAUAAAUUAAAAAAAAUAUGUCAUUAAAAUCUGAUGAACAAUAUUCUGUAUAUUUGUAAAACAGCUGUUGUUUUUCAACGAAUUUGCCUCUCUAUCGAAACAAAAAGUUAUGAGAGAAGUUCAACACGAAGAAAAUAUUGGCGAUUAAAAAUAAUCAUCAUUCAUUGAAAGUAAUCAGUCAAUUAUUCUUGUUUUUUGCAGCUUUAUUUUUGACUUAUUUUUCUGAAAUUAAAACGAUAUUAAUUUAUCGUAGUCAAUUAGACCACCCCGACAAAUGAGCCAUAGUGCAACACACCCGAUAAUCGAUCCGCGUGAUCUCAUUGUUAUGCGAGACAAUCGGCUAAGAACUAUUGUUUUGAGACUGCUACGUUAAGCAGCGUAGCUUGUAUUUUUCUGUAUGGCAAAUCAAUUGAACAAGACUAUUCGAAUUGAUAUACGAACAUUUCAUAUCACAUUGUAACAAAAAAGGCUCGUAUUAUAGAUACAGUUAUAAGUCGAUAAUAAAAAUUAUUCAUUUAAUACAUAUUACUUUUUAUAUAUAUUUUACGUUAAUUUCCAUUUGAUAAUUUUUUGACAAUUUUUUUUUAUUAUGAGGAGGAUGUAGGAUUAUUAAUUUUAUCGUCAUAAUUAAACAAAUUUUAUUGUAUCCGAAUAUGAUAAUAAUGAUAUAAUAUUUGUAUUCGGAAAUGCAUCUAAGAACUUGAAAUGAUUAAAAAGGGCACCCUCAUCUUAAGCUCUUCGACCUAUAUUCCGGAAAAA